Molecule: ribosomal RNA, 464 nt
Filed under: uncultured bacterium
Lineage: Bacteria
Description: partial 16S ribosomal RNA
Rfam family: Bacterial small subunit ribosomal RNA
Source: RNAcentral
CUACGGGCCGCUGCAGUGGGGAAUAUUGCACAAUGGGCGCAAGCCUGAUGCAGCCAUGCCGCGUGUAUGAAGAAGGCCUUCGGGUUGUAAAGUACUUUCAGCGGGGAGGAAGGGAGUAAAGUUAAUACCUUUGCUCAUUGACGUUACCCGCAGAAGAAGCACCGGCUAACUCCCUGCCAGCAGCCGCAGUAAUACGGAGGGUGCAAGCGUUAAUCGGAAUUACUGGGCGUAAAGCGCACGCAGGCGGUUUGUUAAGUCAGAUGUGAAAUCCCCGGGCUCAACCUGGGAACUGCAUCUGAUACUGGCAAGCUUGAGUCUCGUAGAGGGGGGUAGAAUUCCAGGUGUAGCGGUGAAAUGCGUAGAGAUCUGGAGGAAUACCGGUGGCGAAGGCGGCCCCCUGGACGAAGACUGACGCUCAGGUGCGAAAGCGUGGGGAGCAAACAGGAUUAGAUACCCCAGUAGUC